GUGGGGAAUAUUGGACAAUGGGGGGAACCCUGAUCCAGCCAUGCCGCGUGUGUGAAGAAGGCCUUUUGGUUGUAAAGCACUUUAAGCGAGGAGGAGGCUACCGAGAUUAAUACUCUUGGAUAGUGGACGUUACUCGCAGAAUAAGCACCGGCUAACUACGUGCCAGCAGCCGCGGUAAUACGUAGGGUGCGAGCGUUAAUCGGAAUUACUGGGCGUAAAGCGUGCGCAGGCGGUUAUGUAAGACAGAUGUGAAAUCCCCGAGCUUAACUUGGGAAUUGCAUUCGAUACUGGUUGGCUAGAGUAUGGGAGAGGAUGGUAGAAUUCCAGGUGUAGCGGUGAAAUGCGUAGAGAUCUGGAGGAAUACCGAUGGCGAAGGCAGCCAUCUGGCCUAAUACUGACACUGAGGUGCGAAAGCAUGGGGAGCAAACAGGAUUAGAUACCCCGGUAGUCC
This 451-nucleotide ribosomal RNA is filed under the name uncultured bacterium. Its description in RNAcentral is "partial 16S ribosomal RNA". It matches the Rfam family "Bacterial small subunit ribosomal RNA", at positions 354 to 796 of the family's 1533-position model. The record is from RNAcentral.